Fopius arisanus is the source of this 1048-nucleotide long non-coding RNA. RefSeq lists it as uncharacterized. The transcript is spliced from 3 exons. The record is from RefSeq and is a predicted model, not a curated record. NCBI's taxonomy places the organism in Eukaryota, Metazoa, Arthropoda, Insecta, Hymenoptera, Braconidae.
AGGGUCACGCGUCUACUCGAUUGAAUUUGAUCGGUACAGUUUACGUUCCGAGGACGUAUUACUGUUGGGGAUUAUAUUUCUCUCGCUUACAAUUUCUGUCCUCUUCAUUCCUCUCCCCUCUUGAACGACCUCUUCUCUAUCAGCAAUCCCCUAUACAACCAGCCUGUCCACGACUUUUAACGAGCAACGAUAAGAGUUUAUCUCGUCACUGAACGACGCAUGUCGAAAUCGCUUUGCUCACUGCUCGGUACCAUGGAAAAACUCUCACGGAUUGUUGGAAGAAUACAUGUACAUGAAGAUAAAUUCAUUGAAAAAAAAAAAAAUCGUUAAAAAAUUGACCUGACGUAUUAAAUAUCGCAAGCCGUUCAUCCUCACAUGGUACAGUAAAACUUGUGCUAUUGUUCAUUCAAAUAUUGUGUAAAAAUUGUAAUAUUCUCUUAUUUUUCGUUGUCGAGGGAAUUUUCCCGUGGGAUUUGAACCCGCAACCUUCGGAUUAUAUCUUUUGUUGGAAUAUUUGACGCCUCAAUCAUAAGAAAAAUGCUGAUAAACAACUAGACACUUUUUUCUGCGAAAUCAGUUCCUGAAUCCAAUACUCAUGCAUCAUCAUGUGAAAUGAGACUCUUCAAUGACCUUGAGCUCAUCAAUAUCAAAGAAUGCAUGAUAGAGAAUAAAAUAAUUUCCAAUAAACAAAUUAAAACAAUUCGGGAUAUCUCCAAACAUAUAAAUAAAUGGAAUAAUUACAAAGUAAUCAUUCAAGGUCGACUGAAGGUCAUGAAUUGAACAAUAAUGUCAUAGUUGGAGAUAGCUGUCAGAUUGUUGUCAUGUCCGAUGUUGAAUUGACCUGUCCACGAGUUGGGAGGGCAAUUCCUCUUGCUCACGGGUCCCUUGACAACAGCGUCACGUUCACGACUUCCUACGAGUCUUCGUGUGCUACAGUGAAUACUCAAAUUGUUCGUUGAACAACAAAACUCGAACAUUGAAUAAACUGGCUAUUGUCGGCUGCAAACAUCACUUUGAACAUCACUUUUGCCACCUCGGUAAGCCGAAU